CCGUAGCUCAGUUGGAUAGAGCGCUGGCCUCCGAAGCCAGAGGUCACAGGUUCGAAUCCUGUCGGGU
This 67-nucleotide transfer RNA is filed under the name marine eukaryotic metagenome. It matches the Rfam family "tRNA", at positions 5 to 66 of the family's 71-position model. From Rfam's summary of the family: Transfer RNA (tRNA) molecules are approximately 80 nucleotides in length. Their secondary structure includes four short double-helical elements and three loops (D, anti-codon, and T loops). The record is from RNAcentral.